Molecule: long non-coding RNA, 222 nt
Filed under: Lathyrus oleraceus (garden pea)
Lineage: Eukaryota; Viridiplantae; Streptophyta; Magnoliopsida; Fabales; Fabaceae
Description: Pisum sativum (pea) long non-coding RNA (PSAT_LNC022618)
Source: RNAcentral
AUUGUGUUUUCCUUUUACAAGGCAUCUCUAUGCCUUUUGCAGAAGAAUCCAAGUUACAAUCACACCCUUUUUUAUUUUCCUUUUGCAAAUACAAUAAAUCUCUAUGAUCUUGCAGGGAUGUAUCAAGUACCAGUACUGGCAAAGCCCAUCAUUUGAAGAGAUACUUAUGUUACAUAUCCUUUCAUAUCCUUUCAUAUCAUUGCAUAUAAUUACGUCCUCUUC